RNAcentral lists this unclassified non-coding RNA (3290 nucleotides) under Leishmania donovani. RNAcentral describes it as "gene:LdHU3.36.8660(CDS-product:glucose_transporte r_2)". Lineage: Eukaryota; Euglenozoa; Kinetoplastea; Trypanosomatida; Trypanosomatidae. The record is from RNAcentral.
UAACACCUUCACGGCGCUUCAGCUCUCUCAGCAAGCAACACAAAGCGGCACACCUACUUUUCAAGCUCACCUUCCCCGUUGCUGCCGACACCCCACUGCCGACGCUGUUUCUGCUGACCGCUAUCCUUUCUCUCGUGCAACCAGCCCAUUGAGGGCACUGCCCGCAGCCAUGAGCGACAAGUUGGAGGCGAACAGGCGGCGCUCGAACUCGGAUAAGGAGCCCAUCCAUGACCUCGCGAAGAAGAAUGUCAUGGAGGACGAGGGAGACGCUCCGCCGUUCAUGUCGGCGAGCAACGCCAAGGUUAUGUUGGUGCAGGCCAUUGGUGGCAGCCUCAACGGCUACUCGAUCGGCUUUGUCGGCGUGUACUCAACGCUGUUUGGCUACAGCACGAACUGCGCGAACUUCCGCAGCGAGAGAGGCUGCACGACGGCGCCGAACGCCGACUGCCAGUGGUUUCCGAACGCGACUGGCACCGGCUACUGUGGCUGGCCCGAGAUCACGUGCCGCAGAACAUACACCUACUCGAGUGCUUCGGAAAUGCCGGGUGCGAUUACCCAGUGCGAGGCAGACCCGCGGUGCAGGUGGUCCUACAGCGCCAAGGAGUGCCAGAACCCGUCGGGCUACUCGUCGUCGGAAAGCGGUAUCUUCGCCGGCUCGAUGAUUGCCGGCUGCUUGAUCGGCUCCGUGUUUGCUGGCCCGCUUGCGUCGACGAUUGGCGCGAGGCUCUCGUUUCUGCUCGUUGGCCUCGUGGGUGUUGUGUCGUCCGUGAUGUGCCAUGUGUCGACCUCCGAGAACGAGUUUUGGGUGCUGAUUGUCGGCCGCUUCGCGAUUGGCCUGUUCCUGGGCGUGAUCGGUGUUGCGUGCCCUGUGUACACUGACCAGAACGCGCACCCGAAGUGGAAGCGCACGAUUGGUGUGAUGUUCCAGGUGUUCACGACACUGGGCAUCUUCGUUGCGGCGGCGGUUGGCCUUGCACUUGGCCAGAGCAUCUGGUUUGACCGCGACAAGGACCAGAUGGUGAUGGCGCGCAUGCAGGGCCUGUGCGCAUUCUCGACCCUGUUCAGCCUGCUGACGAUCCUGCUUGGGAUUGUGAUGAGCGAAUCGCGCGCGAAGUUCGGCGGCGACGAUGAGGAGGGCGGCAUUGAGCUGGACCCGAACGAGUACGGCUACGUCGAAAUGAUCCCGCGCCUGCUGAUGGGCGCCGUGAUGGCUGGCACGCUGCAGCUGACUGGCAUCAACGCUGUGAUGAACUACGCGCCGGCGAUCAUGGGCAGUCUUGGCCUGGCGCCGCUGGUGGGCAACUUCGUUGUGAUGCUGUGGAACUUCGUGACGACGCUUGCGUCGAUCCCGCUCUCGUACGUGUUCACGAUGCGCCAGCUGUUCCUCUUCGGCUCGCUCUUCACGUCGAGCAUGUGCCUGCUCAUGUGCGGUAUUCCCGUGUACCCUGGUGUCAGCAAGAAGACGGAGGUGAAGAACGGCGUGGCCAUCACUGGCAUCCUGCUGUUCAUUCUCGGCUUCGAGGUGUGCGUGGGCCCGUGCUACUACGUUCUGACGCAGGACAUGUUCCCGCUGUCGUUCCGCCCGCGCGGUGCGUCGUUCACGCAGGUGACCCAGUUCAUCUUCAACCUGAUCAUCAACGUGUGCUACCCGAUCGCGACCGAACACAUCUCUGGCGGCCCUUCAGGCAACCAGGACAAGGGCCAGGCCGUUGCCUUCAUCUUCUUCGGUUGCCUGGGCACUAUCUGCUUCAUCAUCCAGGUCUUCUUCCUGCACCCGUGGGACGAGAAGCGCGAUGGCAAGAAGAGGGCGGCGGCCCCGGCUGACGGGAAGAAGGAGCUGAGCUCCUCGCUCAGCGGCAACAGGGCUGAGUGAGCAGAAUGAGGAGGAUGCUGCAGUGGCCUUCCCGCCUUCUCUCUCGCGCCUCAGUCAGGGCCGUGUGCCCGUGACUAGACGUGCGUCGGCGCGCCGCGAUGGCUUCGACUCCGCUGGCCUUGACCGCGCUUGCGGGGAGCGCCGUGCCGCGCCAACGCACUUUUCGGUUGUGUUGCGUUGAUGAGACGUGCGCGCUGGUGGGAAUAAUAUGGGCUGUUGUGCUUGACAUGAUGUACACCUAGGCAUGUGCUGCUGCGCCGCGCCGCUCUCUGCAUGUCGGUGGCCGACAGCACUUGCAAGUUGGGGCGCAGCGUCAGGGAUGGGGCGGGGAGCUGCUGGGAUCGGGUACUUUUGUGCUUUCCUACGGUGCAUCCCUUGCCCUUCCGUUUCUGUGCUUCCCUCUCGAGGUCACACUCGCCAGGUGGUUGGCCGUGCACCGCAGCCGUGUACUUGUUUCCACUCACGUCCUUUCUCCCACCUCAUUGUUUUAAAGAAAACGAAAACGUUUUUUGUUUUUCCUUUCCCUUUUCUCUAACACCCCCUCCCUCUCCUGUCCUUUGCCCUCUUUUUCUCCUUUGUAUCCGUCGAUGCGUGUUCUGUGCUCCCAUUGUGACGUGCCUCGUUCUCCCUUCGCGUGCGGUCAUACGAGUGUUGCGCGUGCGCUCGUCGAACAGUGCCCGACUCGUGUCGUUGGUGUUGCCCCCCCCCCCCCCCCCCCCAUGUCCUCUCCUCCCGCCCCCCACGCGCGCUCGUUCAGACUCUUUCGUCUUUUGCACGAGCUGGAAGACGGUGCCUGCGCGGCGUUGCCUGCUGCCGGUGCUGGUGGCGCGGAGGAUGGGAGGUGCGGUGCGAGCGGGCGGGGGUGGCGCGCGACGAGCGCAAGGGACGGCAGUAUCCAAAAGAUGAAAAGCGGUACCUUCUCUCUUUCUUUUCAUUAGUAUCGCGUGCGCAGGGGUGCGGCGCGUGCGGACGGGAACGAUGCCUGCUGGAGACGGCCGUCUCGGCUGCGCGCAGACGCCGGUGUGCCCUGACGCGGCGCGAGAAAAGAUUGUGAGCGAAGAGGAUGGUUAGAGGCUUCGCUGUUUCACUCUAUCAAAAGCAAAUGGACGCGUGCUCCUCUCUCUACUCGUUUCUCUCGCCGUCCUUUCGGGCGGCCUGCGCAAGCCUCACGGCGCACGCAAGCGAAGGCGAGAUGGCCAGCGUGAUGCGCCUCCGAGGGACCGCAGAGCGUGGCGCUGACCUCCUCUCAAUUUGCACACGUGAGUAGAACCAGUGGAGCGCUUUCGUCGUUUCGUUUCUGUCUUGUUUUCUCUCGCCUUUAGCUGCCGCUGUCACCGUCCCACCUGAAUGGGUGCAGGAUCGCGGAAAGGCACAUCGCCUCUCUUGCUAACUGUUCCUGGACUUCACUGAGUGUUCG